UACGUAGGUGACCAGCGUUGUUCGGAAUUACUGGGCGUAAAGCGCACGUAGGCGGCUUUGUAAGUUAGAGGUGAAAGCCCGGAGCUCAACUCCGGAACUGCCUUUAAGACUGCAUCGCUUGAAUCCAGGAGAGGUGAGUGGAAUUCCGAGUGUAGAGGUGAAAUUCGUAGAUAUUCGGAAGAACACCAGUGGCGAAGGCGGCUCACUGGACUGGUAUUGACGCUGAGGUGCGAAAGCGUGGGGAGCAAACAGG
Molecule: ribosomal RNA, 253 nt
Filed under: uncultured bacterium
Lineage: Bacteria
Description: partial 16S ribosomal RNA
Rfam family: Bacterial small subunit ribosomal RNA
Source: RNAcentral